This 77-nucleotide transfer RNA is filed under the name Magnetospirillum sp. RNAcentral describes it as "tRNA-His". It matches the Rfam family "tRNA". From Rfam's summary of the family: Transfer RNA (tRNA) molecules are approximately 80 nucleotides in length. Their secondary structure includes four short double-helical elements and three loops (D, anti-codon, and T loops). Further hydrogen bonds mediate the characteristic L-shaped molecular structure. tRNAs have two regions of fundamental functional importance: the anti-codon, which is responsible for specific mRNA codon recognition, and the 3' end, to which the tRNAs corresponding amino acid is attached (by aminoacyl-tRNA synthetases). tRNAs cope with the degeneracy of the genetic code in two manners: having more than one tRNA (with a specific anti-codon) for a particular amino acid; and 'wobble' base-pairing, i.e. permitting non-standard base-pairing at the 3rd anti-codon position. RNAcentral also lists the same sequence under 5 other names. The record is from RNAcentral. Lineage: Bacteria; Pseudomonadati; Pseudomonadota; Alphaproteobacteria; Rhodospirillales; Rhodospirillaceae.
GCGGGUGUAGCUCAGUUGGUUAGAGCGCCAGUUUGUGGUACUGGAUGUCGUCGGUUCGAUUCCGAUCACUCGCCCCA